UGGGGAAUAUUGCACAAUGGGCGCAAGCCUGAUGCAGCAACGCCGCGUGCGGGAUGAAGGCCCUAGGGUUGUAAACCGCUUUCAGCAGGGAAGAAAACAGACGGUACCUGCAGAAGAAGGUGCGGCCAACUACGUGCCAGCAGCCGCGGUGACACGUAGGCACCAAGCGUUGUCCGGAUUUAUUGGGCGUAAAGAGCUCGUAGGCGGUUCAGUAAGUCGGGUGUGAAAACUCAGGGCUCAACCCUGAGACGCCACUCGAUACUGCUGUGACUUGAGUACGGUAGGGGAGCGGGGAAUUCCUGGUGUAGCGGUGAAAUGCGCAGAUAUCAGGAGGAACACCAGUGGCGAAGGCGCCGCUCUGGGCCGUAACUGACGCUGAGGAGCGAAAGCGUGGGUAGCAAACAGGAUUAGAUACCCCCGUAGUCC
This 426-nucleotide ribosomal RNA is filed under the name uncultured prokaryote. RNAcentral describes it as "bacterial SSU rRNA". It matches the Rfam family "Bacterial small subunit ribosomal RNA", at positions 355 to 796 of the family's 1533-position model. The record is from RNAcentral.